RNAcentral lists this ribosomal RNA (417 nucleotides) under uncultured microorganism. Its description in RNAcentral is "bacterial SSU rRNA". It matches the Rfam family "Bacterial small subunit ribosomal RNA", at positions 9 to 416 of the family's 1533-position model. The record is from RNAcentral.
GAGUUUGAUCCUGGCUCAGGACGAACGCUGGCGGCGUGCCUAAUACAUGCAAGUCGAGCGGAUCUUCAUUAGCUUGCUUUUGAAGAUCAGCGGCGGACGGGUGAGUAACACGUGGGCAACCUGCCUGUAAGACUGGGAUAACUUCGGGAAACCGGAGCUAAUACCGGAUAAUCCUUUUCCUCUCAUGAGGAAAAGCUGAAAGACGGUUUCGGCUGUCACUUACAGAUGGGCCCGCGGCGCAUUAGCUAGUUGGUGAGGUAACGGCUCACCAAGGCGACGAUGCGUAGCCGACCUGAGAGGGUGAUCGGCCACACUGGGACUGAGACACGGCCCAGACUCCUACGGGAGGCAGCAGUAGGGAAUCUUCCGCAAUGGACGAAAGUCUGACGGAGCAACGCCGCGUGAGCGAUGAAGGCC